CAGGAGAAGGCCACCUACGAUUGAUGCCAAAGUAGCACCAGUUUAUAUAGGCCACAUCAACGCCCAUCCCAACUGAAAACAAUAGCCAGCCUCUGAUUCUCCCAGCGCGCCUUGCCUGAUGUUUGUCUGUCGUACAGAUUGCCAACUUGCAGGCCACAGAAGUGAUUUAAAGGAAGAGAGAGGGGAGACCCUGGUGCUGCAGGAUAUCGGAGGCUGAGCGAUAGCCGGCCCAAAGACAGGAAACGAAGGGAGUGGCGAGGCUGGAAUUGGGGCAGACGCUCAGAUGCCGGGGCAAUGAGCCUGAAUGCCGGGAGGGGCGAGGUGGGAUAUCAUAAGAGACCAGGGCCAAGAUGCGGGAGUGGGUGGUUCAGUGGAAUAUUUGGUGUCCGUUUACCGGCACAGCCAAGCGGAUACAAGAUCAGAAUGUUCCUCAGGGCACUUCUAAGCAACAGUCCCUUUAGCAGCAAAAAAAAAAAUGCAUCAUGCAUCAGUGUGUGAGACGGCUUGAGGAAGUAACCGUCCAUCUGCUGUUUCACUUGAGAAUACAACUAUGGGAAAGUGACUGGCUUAGGUCCAAACAAAGCAGGAAACUCCAUCCUCACAUUACCCCGCUGCGCAGAGGUGUCUGGAAAAGCACCUGCACCAGGGCCCCCUAAUGACUCAAGAAAUGUGUGAACCUUCUAACUGCAUUUCCUGGGUUUCCUUUCUGUGAUUUUUAGGAGGCUGGUGUCUGACCCAUGCCGAAGCUGGGUCAAGGAGCCGGCCUUGAGCUCAAGGCUGAGUCAGGGGCCCAGGCUCAAGUCUGGGUUCUAGAAAGCCCAGGUCUGAAAAGCUGCUGCUCAAGAGAUUUUGGCCCCUAAAACCAGAAACGUGAGUUCAGCUGCUCCUGUGAGAGCGAUGGUUCUUUCAAGAAUUUGGACACAGCUGAACUUGCCCUAAAGACCCUUUCAGGUUCAGGAUCAAACUCAGAACUGCAAUGUAGGGUGGGAACUACAUCCAGGAAUUUGAACCCUGCCACUUUUCCUUCUUCCCCAAACUGAGAGAGACUCAGGUUCAAGGCUUUAAACAGUUUUCAUCAUACAAGAUCCCAAAGAAUAUUGCAAAUUACCCAGACCCAGGAAUCAAUUAACCUAGCAUGGAAAUGCAGCCACCUCUUGGGAGGAGAACAGCAGCCGGGCAACCAACACGCUAUAGAGCAGCACCGGGAGGGGAAGUUUGGCCACAGACACCCAUACAACAGCACCACAACUUCUUGAACAUCCAUACAGGGCCUUGUUUCUGGAAGAUCGUAACUGCAGGGACUUCAAAUUCUCCUUUUCUCCCCCAGCAGGUGAUGAGACUUCCAGAAUUUGAGCCUCUGAUUCUAAGGUGGCUCACAUCCCAGUGCUUAGCCUGAACUGCGGCCUCUAGCAUCGUAAUUGUAGCCUAAAAAACGUAAUGGAGGGUAAAAUACAUCGCUACAGCAGCAGCUCUGCAGCCGUAAAGGUUUAUGAAAAUAUACGGAGAGUGAUGGCGUAGCAGUGCCGAGCAGCAAAUAAAUCAUCGUCUGUUUCCGGUGGAGCGGAGAGCCGGCUUCAGGGAGUUACUGCACUUCUGUUUUUAUGACUCAAGUACCCACCUGCACAGAUUAGCCAGAAGGAGAUGUUACAUGCUGCAGCCGUUAAAAAUGUUACUUCAUCUGAGGUCAGAGAAAACCUCCAUCAUUUUAGACUCAUGUGUGGUCCUGCAACAUCUCCUUGGAUACCUGGAGGAUUGGGAGCUCUCAUAUUAACGAAGGGAGAGAAGUCUGAGGUCGUGCUGUUAGCGCUAACACCAACAGCUUCAGAAGUACAGGAAGAUAGCCUUAGGAUGCUACAGUACAUCACAGAAUGAUUACAUUGACUAUCUGACAACUUUUCUCUGCACCUAGGACAUUCAAGUAGAGUAGGCCCCAAAUGCAUAGAUUUUAAAUAAAAAAGAGGCCUAUAAAAUUUAACUGAAAUACCACGGAAGACACAAAAGCACUGUAUCAGCAUAAAAGAAUCAGAAAAAUGAAACCAAAAAUAAGUGUGAAACAGAUUAGUCUACUUUCAUAUCCAAGACAGUGCAAAAAGUGAAUAGCAAUUGUAAAGAGUAAUUCAGCUUUUGAAAAGUCCUUCAAGUUUUAGUGAAGGACUAUGGUGAAACAAGUAUAAAAAUUAAAAGAAUGUUGCCAAAAUAAUCUAUAUCAGAAAAUUAUCUAUAUUCAGCAUCUUCAAGGAAAACAAGAACAUCAUCAGUUACUUGACUCAAGUCGAUCCAGAAUUCACUAGACAAAACUUGACUUUUACUUGCUGAGCAAUGCGUUAAACAUUAAAAGAAUAUGCUUGUAUAGUCACAUGCACCAGUAUUUAACAGAGCUGAUCUAUCCCAGAAGAAAGCCCACCUGGUUAAACUACAUCUGAAUCACACAAAAAUCCCAGCCACCCCACCUCUUUCCAGGCAUGCAUUUUGAAGUACAUCAAAUCAUAGAAAUGCAAGGUUGCAAGGGACCUAGAAAACUCAACAGGUCUAACCCCCCUGCACUGAGGCAGGACCAAGUAAACCUAGAUCAUCCUGAUAGGUGUUUGUCCAACCUGUUCUUAAAAACCUCCAAUGAGGAGGAUUCCACAACCUCCCUUGGAAGCCCAUUCUAGAGCCUAAUUACCCUAACAGUUAAAAAGUUUUUCCUAAUAUCUAACCAAAAUCUUCCUUGCUGCAAAUUAAGCCCAUUACUUCUUGUCCUACAUUCAGUGAACAUGAGCAACAAGUGAUUACCAUCCUCUUUAUAACAUCCCUUAACAUAUUUGAAGACUUAGGUUAAAAAAACUGGGGGGACCUGCUUUCUUCAUAGGUCAGAUUUCCUAAACUUUUUAUUGCUCUCCUCUAUUUCCAAUUUGUCCAUAUCUUUCCUAAAGUGUCACCCAGAACUGGACACCGUUCUCCAGCUGAAGCCUCAUGAGUGCCAAAUAAAGGGAGACAAUUACCUCAUGUCUUACACUCGGCACGCCUGUUAAUAUACUCCACAAUAUUAGCAUUUUUCACAACUGUAUCACAUUGAUAACUCAUGUUCAAUUUGUGUUCCAUUAUCAUCCCCUGAUCCUUUUUAGCAAUACUACCACGUAGCCAGUUAUUCCCCAUUUUGUACUGGCACAUUCGAUUUUCCCUUCCUAAGUGUAGUACUUUGCACUUGUCUUUAUUGAAUGUCAUCUUGUUGUUUUCAGAUCAGUUCUCUAACUGGUCAAGAUUCUCCAAAGUGCUUGCAUAUGUUACAAAUGCUAUGAAGGAUGAAGAGCUGCAAUCCACACAAUGCUUGUUUUCUUACCAGCAUCUGAUUUCUGUCCAUAAUCCCUUUGACCUGUAGAAUGGGUAAAAAAAAUGAAAGAAAGGCUACUUUAGCAAGGAAAGCCUUUUUACAAAGCUUGUUAAAUAAGAUAAGAUAUUCAAGCUACAUAUGCAAUGUAUCUAAAAUCUAAGUCAUUAACCAGAGAUCUGGAGAAUAUUUAGAUUAAAAUGUUCAGUAGCAGGCAUCUGCAGAAUGUUAACACGUUCUUUAGCUUGCAGUCUAUGGCAUCUGCCACAUUAGCAUUAUGCUGGUGUUUAUCUUGCAAAUGCUGGUUGUCAGACGACCAAGCAGUUUACCACAAUUAUUUUGUCACUAGUACCUUUCAAAGCAGCAUUUGUAACAAAAAACCCAAAAUCCGGUGAAGGUUGUAAAUCUCCACAAUUUCUUUCAUGCAAUUUGACAGAGUAGAAAUCCAGUUUAUUGUUAAAAGAUUGACUUUUAAAGCACACAAACACACCAGCCCCAGAAAAACAGAAACGCUAGAAUGCUUCUACUGGAUAGUAAUAAGAUAUUGGUGGCUUUUAGAUUUAUACAGAAUUUCCACUGAAACAUUUUGGAUACUUGGCACUUACCACCAAAAUUUUUGAAGCCACCACGGUCACCACCACUGCAGAGGAAAAAUUGAAGAAAUGAUUUCUUCCUCAAGUCUCUACGUGCUGAGCCUAAGGCUCAAUCUACACUUAUCUGAUCAAAAGUUAUUGUCUAGUGGCUAAAGCUUCACCUCUAUGUUUUGCACACUAUUUAUUUGUGUUCAGAGAUUAUUCUUUCAGAUAGCUAAUCUCCUAGGGCACGAAUCCCAGAAACUAACCUCCAAAAGAAUUGCUGAAACAAAGGUGGGUGUAUACACUAAUUAAAAAACCCUUUUCCAGCCCACAAGCCAAACGAAUGCUAUUUAAAACUGGGAUUUAAAACAGAGGCAUACUUUUUAUAAAAAUUAGUGGGCUUUACUCCAAUCUAGCAGCUGCAUGGAUAGUUAAUUACCACUUGUGAACUGAAAUUAAUUAAUCUCUAUUCUUAUGCAUUCAAGUAAAUUUGGAUAAAUUAGUAUUACUAAGCACACUCUGAAGUAGGAUGUGUGAGGAUCUGGGAAUCUGUGCAACAAUGUACUACUAGCAUUUGACAUUAAUGAUAAGGUGUGUGUAUGAGAAUGAGCUUCAAUAGCAGAGGUCGUGAACUUUUAAUUAAUUCAUUCUGAAACCUGUGGCACAAAACGUAGACCAAGUUAAUAGCUUACACACACAGAUUGCCAGGGAAUGAGGGGAGUUUAGUUGAUGUGAAGUCCCAUUCCAAAUUUAAUGGUAGUAAAAGCCUGAUAUCUCCCACGCUUAUUCUAUUUAAUGUGUGGUUCACGGUAUUGAUAUUUCCCACAUUUAACAUUAACAACUAAAUCCAGGUGCAAGGAUUAACACACUCAAUAUUCAAGGCCUUUAGAAAAAGAUCAGCAGCAUUUUUAAAGUUAACAGCCAAGCCUUUCCAAGUUUACAAGACUGCCUGCUUGUGUGGGAGUGCAGGUUUUCCACAGCAGUUACCAGCAGUAAACUGGAAAGUUCAUUUCUCAUUGUGGGAACUCUUAUGCAGAGUAACUAAGAUAAAGAGAGUACAAGUAAAAAUCCUCAACUAGCACUCCUUGCCUAACCCUUGGAGGUUCUGCCCCACAGCUAAUGCACCAGCCACUGCAGUAGUUUAUGAUUAAAGUCUGGAGGGACUCCUAAUUAACUCCAAUCUCUCAACUUGUUAAGGUCCAAGUGUGGGACAAGAGCUCAAAAUAAGGGACAUUAGUAAAAUAGGCUUGUGACGUUGCACCCCAUAAGGCUUAAUGGAAAUAUGCUUAUGAAUGUAUAUAUGACAUAACUGGAAUAUGUUUUAUGCUACAUAUGCCAUGUAACAUCUCUCUGUAAAGGUUACGAAUACAUUCCUCCUAUUUGUAUGCAUGUAUCAUUUUUGUAUUUGAAGUUAUGAAUAUUGGCUAUAUACUUGCCUGAUUUCUAAGUAGCCUUAGUAGAGCAUUUGGUCAGCUUCUUGAGAAAGGAAUGUGCAAGUUAAAUGCCCAGUCAAGAACCACUUAAGCCAACAAUGAACUUGAAAACGCCAAUCCACAUCUGAGCUUUCCCAGGAAGGUGGCUUGGCUGGUAAGAAACUCAGUCAUACGUGUACAUGUGACUUGCCCAUGUGACACCAAAACUCCAUUUUGUAGCUGGAUUCUACACAGGUGUAUUCACCCACAAGAGAAAGUCUAUUUAAGCCCGUGGGAGACCCCUCCAUUUUGGUCUUCAGCUGGCUAAAGAGAUAACCUCUCCACCCCCAAGGAUACCUGGAAGAAACUGGAACAAAGACAGUAACUACAGGGAGUGAGAGAGAUUGCUGGACCAGACUAGAAGGAGACUAGUCUGUAAAAGGAAGUUCACUGGAAUUCCUCUAAGGGUGAGGUUUUUAUCUGUAUUCAGUUUUCUUAGACAUAGAUUUGCGUGUUCUAUUUUAUUUUGUUUGGUAAUUCACUUUGUUCUGUCUGUUACUACUUGGAACCAUUUAAAUCCUACUUUCUGUAUUUAAUAAAAUCACUUUUUACUUAUUAAUU
Molecule: long non-coding RNA, 5918 nt
Organism: Chelonia mydas (Green sea turtle)
Lineage: Eukaryota; Metazoa; Chordata; Testudines; Cheloniidae
Exons: 3
Source: RefSeq, a predicted model, not a curated record